AGACGUCUACAUUAGAUACCCGGGUAGUCCCAGCCGUAAACUAUGCGCGUUAGGUGUAUCGGUGACCACGAGUCACCGAGGUGCCGAAGGGAAACCGUGAAACGUGCCGCCUGGGAAGUACGGUCGCAAGGCUGAAACUUAAAGGAAUUGGCGGGGAGCACCACAACGGGUGGAGCCUGCGGUUUAAUUGGACUCAACGCCGGGAAGCUCACCGGAUAAGACAGCGGAAUGAUUGCCGGGCUGAAGACUCUGCAUGACCAGCUG
RNAcentral lists this ribosomal RNA (264 nucleotides) under uncultured archaeon. RNAcentral's name for it is "partial 16S ribosomal RNA". It matches the Rfam family "Archaeal small subunit ribosomal RNA", at positions 717 to 982 of the family's 1478-position model. The record is from RNAcentral.